GGGCCCAUAGCUCAACGGUUAGAGCACCAGACUCAUAAUCUGUUGGUUCGGGGUUCGAAUCCCUGUGGGCCCA
RNAcentral lists this transfer RNA (73 nucleotides) under Fidelibacterota bacterium. Its description in RNAcentral is "tRNA-Ile". It matches the Rfam family "tRNA". From Rfam's summary of the family: Transfer RNA (tRNA) molecules are approximately 80 nucleotides in length. Their secondary structure includes four short double-helical elements and three loops (D, anti-codon, and T loops). The record is from RNAcentral. Lineage: Bacteria; Pseudomonadati; Fidelibacterota.